CGCAACAGAAAACAGGCCCAAGCCCAGCGAGCCACCGCCCGACGGUUUAAGUGUGCCGCCCGGCGGUUUCCCAUAAUCCUCCAAACUGCCCGGCGGCAAUCGCCACCGCCCAGCGGUUUCCCUCAGAACCGCCCAGCGUCAAGCACCAUGCCUACUCCUCGCCCUAGACCGCCCGGCGGUUUAAGUGUGCCGCCGGGCGGUGCGUCGACUUUUCAAAUCUUCAUUUUUCUGCUCUUUACUUGAGUCAACGACCUGUAUCUUUAACUC
Molecule: long non-coding RNA, 267 nt
Filed under: Vigna radiata
Lineage: Eukaryota; Viridiplantae; Streptophyta; Magnoliopsida; Fabales; Fabaceae
Description: long non-coding RNA (VRAD_LNC008697)
Source: RNAcentral